Molecule: ribosomal RNA, 218 nt
Filed under: Escherichia coli
Lineage: Bacteria; Pseudomonadati; Pseudomonadota; Gammaproteobacteria; Enterobacterales; Enterobacteriaceae
Description: partial 16S ribosomal RNA
Rfam family: Bacterial small subunit ribosomal RNA
Source: RNAcentral
AAAUUGAAGAGUUUGAUCAUGGCUCAGAUUGAACGCUGGCGGCAGGCCUAACACAUGCAAGUCGAACGGUAACAGGAAACAGCUUGCUGCUUCGCUGACGAGUGGCGGACGGGUGAGUAAUGUCUGGGAAACUGCCUGAUGGAGGGGGAUAACUACUGGAAACGGUAGCUAAUACCGCAUAACGUCGCAAGACCAAAGAGGGGGACCUUCGGGCCUCU